AAUGUUCUCUCUCGCCAUCGCCAUAUUGAUAUAAAAGUUUGUCUUGUGAAAUACACGAUGUGCAGUAUUCCUGUAUGAUGUAGUUAUCCAAUCCUUCUUGUUGUGUCAAAUAUAAAUUUUAAUUUUUAGUUAUUAAAUUCUACGUGAAAAGAUCAUAUUAAUACAUAUAAUAUAUAUUGAAAGCUAGCUUUUGAAUUAAAACCAUGUGAAUUGAAUCUUCGGAUAUAUAAUAGUAACGUCAAUAAAUUUUGGUUUAGGUUUUCAAAUACACAUUUGCAUUGAAACUUGAAGCAGUUUUAUUUUAAGGACGCUACUGAUUUUCACAUACGUAUUUGCAUAGAAUCUUGAAGUUUAUUUUUAAGAAGGCUUCUAACAAGUUUAAAGUUAUCAAGAAUUUUGUUUCAUAUAAUUCUGCUAUUAGAGAAACAUAAUAAGUUUUAAAUUCUGGAAAGAUAUUUGCAUUUUUGAGCAUACGGCAUUUUCCGGGACCGCUAAACUUUUUAUAAGAUUAAAACGAUUUAAAUUGUAUCUUCAGCUAUAAUGCAUUAAUUUUGGUUUGAAUGUCCACACACAUCAAUGCAUUAAUGGUUGAAAUAAUAAUUCUAUUUUAAAAAGGGCUUUUGGUUUUCACACCCACAUUUGCGUUGAGACUACUGCGAGAGAGAAGUAGGUUUAUUUUUAAGAAGGCUUCUGUUUUAAUUGCUACUUUAAAAGAUCAUAUUCACAUUAUAAUUACAUGUUGCGAUCUGAUAUUUGGAUUAAAGGUUUUCACAUACACUUUGCAUUGAAACUUAAAGUAGUUUUAUUUUAAGAAAGUUACUGGUAAGUCUACAUUUAUCAAGGAUCUUAUUUCAAAUAAUUCUGCUAUUAGAAUGAGUAUUAUGUAUUUAGAUUUAAAAAAUUAUUUGCAUUAUUGAACGUACGGCAUGUUCCGGGACCGAUUAAAUUUUUUAAAUAUAAUGUUUCUUUGGAUUAUUUCAAUUAAAAUUUUAACUUUCAAGUAUUAAAUUCUACUUCAAAAGACCAUAUUUACAUGUAAUUAUGUGUUGACAGUUGAUUUUUGUAUUAAUACCAUGCAAAUUAAAUUUUCGGAUGGAAUAAUAUCGACAGUAAAUUUUGGUUUAGAUUUUCACAUACACAUUUACAUUGAAACUUGAAGUAGUUUUAUUUUAAGAAGAUUUCUGAUAAGUCUACAGUUAUCGAGAAGUUUUUUAUAAUUCUGCUAUUAGAGCAACAUAAUAAGUUCUAAAUUAUUCAGACAUUUGCAUUUUUGAACAUACACAGCAUGUUCCGGGAUUAGUAAAGCUUUUUUUAAAUAUUGUCUCUUUUUAUUCUUUUAUAAGUCUUAAUUCGAAAUUAUAAUAAAUACUACUUCGAAAGAUCAUAUUUACAUUUUGAUUAACUACUGAAAGCUGAUUUUUUUAAUUUAAUACGGUAUAAAUUGAAUGUUUAUAUAUAAGAAUAAUAUCACUAGUUUUGAUAAUUUGUAAAUUUGCACACAUUAUUUGCAUUUACACUUGAAGUAAUAUUAUUUUGAGAAGGCUUCUGGUGAGUUCUUCUAAAUUUGUCGACGUUCUUUUAUAUAAUCUUACUAUUAGAAUGACUUGUGUUUUAAGUUCUGGAAAAUUAUUUGCAUUAUUGAAAAUACGGCAUUUUCCAGGACCGUUAAAAUUGUUUGAAAAUAUUGUAUCUUAAAUUUGUAUUAUUUCUAUAAAUCUUAAUUCAAAUUCUGAAGUAAUAAAUUAUUCCGCGAAAAAUAUUUUCAUUAUAAUUAGUUAAGUACUGAUUUAUUUUUGUUAAUUUUUAUUUAAACUUGAGCUUGGUGAAUAUAACCAUAAUGUAAAUAAUUUUGAUUUGCGUUUUAAUAAGUUUUCAUUAACAUUUGGAGAAAUCUUCUGACAUGUCUAAACUUUUUGUGUUUAUUUUUUCAUAUAAUUCUGUUAUUAACUAUGUAUUACGUUUCAAGGUUUGCAAAGUUGUUUGCAUUCGUGAAUAUUUCGGGAUCAGUGUAAGUUUUCUUAAGAUAGUGUCUCUUUGUAUAUGUAGAAAUCUUAUUUCUAU
This is a non-coding RNA of Nylanderia fulva, 2061 nucleotides long. Lineage: Eukaryota; Metazoa; Arthropoda; Insecta; Hymenoptera; Formicidae. The record is from RefSeq and is a predicted model, not a curated record.